GAUGAACGCUGGCGGCGUGCUUAACACAUGCAAGUCGAACGGAAAGGCCCAAGCUUGCUUGGGUACUCGAGUGGCGAACGGGUGAGUAACACGUGGGUGAUCUGCCCUGCACUUCGGGAUAAGCCUGGGAAACUGGGUCUAAUACCGGAUAGGACCACUUCUUGGAUGUUGUGGUGGAAAGUUUUUUCGGUGUGGGAUGAGCUCGCGGCCUAUCAGCUUGUUGGUGGGGUAAUGGCCUACCAAGGCGUCGACGGGUAGCCGGCCUGAGAGGGUGUACGGCCACAUUGGGACUGAGAUACGGCCCAGACUCCUACGGGAGGCAGCAGUGGGGAAUAUUGCACAAUGGGCGCAAGCCUGAUGCAGCGACGCCGCGUGGGGGAUGACGGCCUUCGGGUUGUAAACUCCUUUCGCUAGGGACGAAGCGUUUUUGUGACGGUGCCUGGAGAAGAAGCACCGGCUAACUACGUG
This 468-nucleotide ribosomal RNA is filed under the name uncultured bacterium. Its description in RNAcentral is "partial 16S ribosomal RNA". It matches the Rfam family "Bacterial small subunit ribosomal RNA", at positions 28 to 507 of the family's 1533-position model. The record is from RNAcentral.